CUCCGUGCCAGCAGCCGCGGUAAUACGGGGGAUGCAAGCGUUAUCCGGAAUCAUUGGGCGUAAAGCGCCUGUAGGUUGUUUAAUAAGUCUGUUGUUAAAGACUGGGGCUUAACCCCAGGAAAGCAAUGGAAACUACUAGACUAGAGUAUGGUAGGGGUAAAGGGAAUUUCUAGUGUAGCGGUGAAAUGCGUAGAUAUUAGAAAGAACACCGGUGGCGAAAGCGCUUUACUGGACCAUUACUGACACUCAGAGGCGAAAGCUAGGGUAGCCAAAGGGAUUAGAUACCCCUGUAGUCCUAGCCGUAAACGAUGGAUACUAGAUGUUGCGCUUAUUGUGCAGUGUCGUAGCUAACGCGUUAAGUAUCCCGCCUGGGGAGUACGAUCGCAAGGUUGAAACUCAAAGGAAUUGACGGGGGCCCGCACAAGCGGUGGAGCAUGUGGUUUAAUUCGAUGCAACGCGAAGAACCUUACCAGGGCUUGACAUACUGCAAAUUUUCUUGAAAGAGAAAAGUGCCUUCGGGAAUGCAGAUACAGGUGGUGCAUGGCUGUCGUCAGCUCGUGUCGUGAGAUGUUGGGUUAAGUCCCGCAACGAGCGCAACCCUCGUUUUUAGUUGCCAUUUUAUGGGUUCUCUAGAAAGACUGCCGGUGACAAACCGGAGGAAGGUGGGGAUGACGUCAAGUCAGCAUGCCCCUUAUGCCCUGGGCUACACACGUGCUACAAUGGCUAAGACAAAGAGUCGCGAAUUCGCGAGAAUCAGCUAAUCUCAUAAACUUAGUCUAAGUUCAGAUUGUAG
This 793-nucleotide ribosomal RNA is filed under the name uncultured phototrophic eukaryote. RNAcentral's name for it is "bacterial SSU rRNA". It matches the Rfam family "Bacterial small subunit ribosomal RNA", at positions 501 to 1303 of the family's 1533-position model. The record is from RNAcentral.